Molecule: long non-coding RNA, 196 nt
Filed under: Vulpes vulpes (red fox)
Lineage: Eukaryota; Metazoa; Chordata; Mammalia; Carnivora; Canidae
Description: lncRNA (ENSVVUG00000001403.1)
Source: RNAcentral
AUUCAAACAUCAAUCUAUAAUGUUCUUCAAUCAAGAAAAGUAAUCUAAUAUGAUUUUUCCUUUCUCUAGUCUUCUCUUCCCUAUUCACACACUCAACCUCAACAUCAAGAAUUUCAGUUCUGAAUUGAUAGGAAUAUGGCCCAUUGAUCUGAUCUUUGAAUUUUUAAAGGAGAGCUCACAAGCAGGACUUCCAUAG